GCAAACAUUAGUCCCUCUUCAUAAUUUAAUAAGAGAUUGGAUUAAAUUGGCGAUGUCCGAAGAGGAGCGACAAGAGGCAAAAGAUUUCUUUUUUGAAAAAAGUGGAUUUGAAAAUAUCGUCAUGUGUGUUGAUGGUACCCACAUAAAAAUAAAAAAAAACCACGUAACCGACCACUACAGUAUUUAAACCGGAAGAACGUUUAUAGCAUCAAUGCUUUGAUUGUAUGUGAUCACAAAUACCGGAUUAGAGCGAUCGACGCUCGUUUUGCAGGAUCAAACCAUGACGCCCAUAUCUGGAGAGUAAGUCCAGUCCGGGCUUAUUUUGAGCACUUACAUAGAAGUGGCCAAAAUGACAGACUAUUUGGAGAUGCUGGAUAUCCCUCAGAACCUUGGAUAGUAAGACCUCAUCGUGAUCCGGAUGAGGGUUCUGUGGAAGCACAAGAAAACUCAAAAAUAUCGUCGGGAAGAAUGACUGUGGAGCAAAGUAUAGGAAUCCUAAAAUCACGGUUCAGAUGUCUGUUAGGAGCUGAAAGAUCCCUGAAUUACGAUCCAAGAAAGGCAGGACUAAUAAUCAAUACGUGUUGUGCGUUACACAACAUGUGUAUUGAACACAAUAUAGAGUGGCAACAGACGUUCAAUAGUAUUAUACGUGGUAUAGAAGAUUCAUAGAAGAAAACAGGAAAAAAGAAAAAGUAA
Anopheles merus is the source of this 696-nucleotide long non-coding RNA. RefSeq lists it as uncharacterized. The record is from RefSeq and is a predicted model, not a curated record. NCBI's taxonomy places the organism in Eukaryota, Metazoa, Arthropoda, Insecta, Diptera, Culicidae. The transcript has 3 exons.